GAAAGAAACGGUCCUACUCUUCAAUAAUUCUUGCCUUUUGCAAGAUGUAUGCUCCCUGACAUCUCCGAUGCUCCUUUUAUAAUUUCUGUGCUUUCAUGGCAAUAACCUAGCAACCAAAACAACAUUAUUUUUGUAUUCUUCUCUCUUUUAGCAUCUUCUCAUCAUCCAUCUCUUGUUAAUCAUUUCGUGGACUGUGGAAAAGCUGCCACCAAUUGUGUCAUCAAGAUUAAGGGGUAGGUAGCUAGCUGGCUAGCAACGUUUGGCUCAGCCGGCCAUUCCCGACAUUGCAGGUGGGGGUAUCUUGCGUUCCCAGAUCCUUCUUGGUUCUGCAGCGGUCCCCAAUCACUGGAUGCCUUCUCCCUUUGCUUCUACUAAGUGCUUUGCUUGCCCUUUCUUCUCUUCUAUAAGUCCUCUCACUAUUCCAAGAUAUACACACAUUAGGAGAAAAGCAAUAUGUAUAUGAAAUCAUUAUUACAGGAUAUGUAGAUGCAGCAACUUAUAUGCGGCAGAUUUUCGAGUUAAGUGCCAAGUUAUUUAGUUCAGCUAAUUUUAGCAAUACGAUCACUGAAGAUAAACUUUCAGUAACAACAGAGUAUUCAUGGGUAAGAUUGAUCCUCCAUUUCAAGAGACUUACAAGACCCUUUUCAAGGACUGUCUUGUAAGGGCAACAGAAGGCAGGAACCUUCCAAUGGUGGAAGAAUGUGAGCUGCCGCUCAUCGAUAUUAAUCGUUUAUCUUGGGGACACCCAGAAAGAGAAAAAUGUAUUACAGAAAUGGCUGAAGCAGCAAGUAAAUGGGGUUUCUUUCAAGUAAUCAAUCAUGGGAUCCCAGUAGAGAUUUUGGAAAGGAUGCAAUAUGAACAAAUGAAGGUGUUCCAUACAUCUUUUCAAAACAAGUGUGAAGGGAACAUCUUGAAUUUAUCAGCAAACAGAUACCUCUGGGGGAACCCUAAAGCGACUUGUUUGAGGCAAUUCUCUUGG
Molecule: unclassified non-coding RNA, 979 nt
Filed under: Hevea brasiliensis (rubber tree)
Lineage: Eukaryota; Viridiplantae; Streptophyta; Magnoliopsida; Malpighiales; Euphorbiaceae
Source: RNAcentral